CUACGGGACACUGCAGUGGGGAAUAUUGGACAAUGGGCGAAAGCCUGAUCCAGCCAUGCCGCGUGUGUGAAGAAGGCCUUCGGGUUGUAAAGCACUUUCAGUGGGGAAGAAAGCCUUGGGGCUAAUACCCUCGAGGAAGGACAUCACCCACAGAAGAAGCACCGGCUAACUCCGUGCCAGCAGCCGCGGUAAUACGGAGGGUGCGAGCGUUAAUCGGAAUUACUGGGCGUAAAGCGCGCGUAGGCGGUCUGAUAAGCCGGUUGUGAAAGCCCCGGGCUCAACCUGGGAACGGCAUCCGGAACUGUCAGGCUAGAGUGCAGGAGAGGAAGGUAGAAUUCCCGGUGUAGCGGUGAAAUGCGUAGAGAUCGGGAGGAAUACCAGUGGCGAAGGCGGCCUUCUGGACUGACACUGACGCUGAGGUGCGAAAGCGUGGGUAGCAAACAGGAUUAGAUACCCCGGUAGUC
RNAcentral lists this ribosomal RNA (464 nucleotides) under Vreelandella stevensii. RNAcentral's name for it is "partial 16S ribosomal RNA". It matches the Rfam family "Bacterial small subunit ribosomal RNA", at positions 339 to 795 of the family's 1533-position model. Lineage: Bacteria; Pseudomonadati; Pseudomonadota; Gammaproteobacteria; Oceanospirillales; Halomonadaceae. The record is from RNAcentral.